UACGUAGGGUGCAAGCGUUGUCCGGAAUUAUUGGGCGUAAAGAGCUCGUAGGCGGUUUGUCGCGUCUGCUGUGAAAGUCCGGGGCUCAACUCCGGAUCUGCGGUGGGUACGGGCAGACUAGAGUGAUGUAGGGGAGACUGGAAUUCCUGGUGUAGCGGUGAAAUGCGCAGAUAUCAGGAGGAACACCGAUGGCGAAGGCAGGUCUCUGGGCAUUAACUGACGCUGAGGAGCGAAAGCAUGGGGAGCGAACAGG
This 253-nucleotide ribosomal RNA is filed under the name uncultured bacterium. RNAcentral's name for it is "partial 16S ribosomal RNA". It matches the Rfam family "Bacterial small subunit ribosomal RNA", at positions 524 to 776 of the family's 1533-position model. The record is from RNAcentral.